UUAUUUUGGUGCAGGACAUUGGACAAAUUCUGAAAAUGAAACAGGUGAUUCCUUGCAUGUGCAGUGAGUUAUGACAGAGUCAUGUUUGGAGUGCAUCUUGCUGGAAAUGUAUCUAUUACAAGAAUGAGAAAUUGAUGAGUUGUUAAGCUAGAAGGUCUAGAUGAGCUAGCCAUGAAUAUUAAGGGAAAGAAAUGUGUUAAGGUGAUGAGAUUGUAAGUUUUGGGCCUUGUGAAAA
Molecule: unclassified non-coding RNA, 235 nt
Filed under: Hevea brasiliensis (rubber tree)
Lineage: Eukaryota; Viridiplantae; Streptophyta; Magnoliopsida; Malpighiales; Euphorbiaceae
Source: RNAcentral